RNAcentral lists this transfer RNA (88 nucleotides) under Verrucomicrobia bacterium CAG:312_58_20. RNAcentral's name for it is "tRNA-Ser". It matches the Rfam family "tRNA". Rfam says of the family: Transfer RNA (tRNA) molecules are approximately 80 nucleotides in length. Their secondary structure includes four short double-helical elements and three loops (D, anti-codon, and T loops). Further hydrogen bonds mediate the characteristic L-shaped molecular structure. tRNAs have two regions of fundamental functional importance: the anti-codon, which is responsible for specific mRNA codon recognition, and the 3' end, to which the tRNAs corresponding amino acid is attached (by aminoacyl-tRNA synthetases). tRNAs cope with the degeneracy of the genetic code in two manners: having more than one tRNA (with a specific anti-codon) for a particular amino acid; and 'wobble' base-pairing, i.e. permitting non-standard base-pairing at the 3rd anti-codon position. RNAcentral also lists the same sequence under 4 other names. The record is from RNAcentral. Lineage: Bacteria; Pseudomonadati; Verrucomicrobiota.
GGAGAGGUGACGGAGUGGCCGAACGUGCGCGAUUGGAAAUCGCGUGUGGGUCAAAAGCCCACCGGGGGUUCGAAUCCCCCCCUCUCCG